RNAcentral lists this long non-coding RNA (1169 nucleotides) under Marmota monax (woodchuck). The record is from RNAcentral. Lineage: Eukaryota; Metazoa; Chordata; Mammalia; Rodentia; Sciuridae.
UGAAAUUGUAUCGAUAGCAGUGAAGACUAGUACCCUUUCUCCACUCUGCCACUUAUAAAUAAUUUUUGUAUUUCAGAAAACUUGAAGAUGACAAAACAAACACAAAAAUCAGUCUUCAAUCCAGGCAUGGUGGUACACACCUGUAAUCCCAGUGGCUCAGGAGGAUCACAAGUUCAAAGCCAGCCUCAACAACUUAGUGAGGCCCCCAAGCAACUCAGGAAGACCCUGUCUCAAAACAAAAGAUUUUUAAAAAGGACUGGGGAUGUGGCUAAGAGCCCCUGAGUUUAAUAAGUUUUGCUUGUAGCAAAAACAGCAGCAGCAAAAACAACAACAAAGCAGUCUUCAAAAAGAAGGUAUUAACUUUAGGGUAAAUGUGCUAUGCAGACGAUUCAUGCUUUUUCAGAUCUGUUUCUUCGUCAGGAAAUUCUCAGGCAAAGAGAAAAUAUUUGCCCACAGGAGAAGGAAUUGUGUUAUCAUCAUUUGCUGCCAUCACUUCUGUGCUUAAAAGGCACUUGAUAGAUACUUUUGGAACAAAUUGAUCCAUAAUCUAGUGAAUAUACUUGCAAUUUUAUUUUAUUUUAUUUUAUUUUAUUUUAUUUUUGGUACCAGGGAUUGAACUCAGGGGCACUCAACCACUAAGCCAUAUCCCAGCCCUAUUUUUAUUUUAUUUAGAUACAGGGUCUCACUGAGUUGCUUAGCACCUUGCUUUUGCUGAGGCUGGCUUUGAACUCAUGACCCUCCUGCCUCAACCUCUGGAGCUGCUGGGAUUGCAGGCAUGCACUACAGUACCAGGCUGCAAUUUUUUUCUAAAAGACAUUUUAUAUGAAUGGUCAUGUUUUUUUACAGAAAGUUUAUUUAAAAAGUGUAUCAUUUUUGUUUUCUGAGUAUGAAAACCUUAGGGACUUUUGAAAAGAAAGAAAAUAUAUUUCAACCAUUCCCUCUUCUUUCAGAUUUAGACUGGUUAGUUUUAACUACUUCUAACAUGUGAUAUAAUAUACCAAUUUAUUAUGUUCAUUGUCCAUCUUCUGCUAGAAAUUAGACUGCACAAGGGUAGAGAUUUUUCCUGUUUUGUUUACUCUGGGCUUCUAGAAUGUGCUCAAUAAAUGUUUCAAGUGGAUUAAUGUGGCAUAAUUUGCUUUUUAUUAUAUUCAUGGUUAAUUGGAUGUCUC